RNAcentral lists this transfer RNA (58 nucleotides) under Rattus norvegicus (Norway rat). The record is from Rfam by way of RNAcentral. Lineage: Eukaryota; Metazoa; Chordata; Mammalia; Rodentia; Muridae.
UGGCUCAGUGGUUAAGAGCACUGACUGCAUUUCCAGAGAUCCUGAGUUCAAAUCUCAG